ACGGAUCAAUGGAGAAUACUUGAAUGCAAAGUCACAAGGGCCAGUUGAGAUUCGAAAGUCUUCCCCAGCGGUCGCAGCACAGUUUCCUAUUCGCUAGAUCGUUGUGAUUUUCGCCAGUCUUGCCGGUAGCAAAACACGUCAGGUCAAGUGCAGGUGUACUCCUCUACAGGCGUCUACACCAACACAGAACUUUUGCCGUUAUUAGUGUUGUGUUGUUUUCGUUAUUAUUAUUUUUCUUUGUGCGUACGAGAUGGGAUUAAUAGAAACGCUGCGCUUUCGCGUUCUUCCCUAUUGGAAGACGUACGUGUUGGUCCUUUUGCCGUUGAUCCUUUUACCGUUACCGGUGAUCGGUCAAGGAAAGGAAGCACGAGCGGGCUAUGUAAUCAUCAUAAUGGCCGUUUUCUGGAUGACGGAAGCUCUGCCUUUGGCCAUCACCAGUCUGCUUCCGGUUGUCCUCUUCCCCUUACUAGGCAUCAUGGGCACCGGAAAAGUGUGCACGGCUUACAUGAAAGAAACGAACAUGAUGUUUAUCGGAGGCUUGAUGGUAGCUCUGACGAUCGAACACUGCAAUUUGCAUAAGAGGAUCGCCCUAAGAGUGCUGCUGUUGGUCGGCGCUAGUCCUAGAUGGUUGAUGCUAGGAUUCAUGUUAACGACUAUGUUUCUAUCCAUGUGGAUUUCCAAUACAGCUACGACUGCCAUGAUGGUUCCCAUCGUUGAAGCAGUCGUUCAAGAGCUUUUCAAGGAUGGCGAAGAAGAAAUGAAGAGAGAGCCGAACGUGCGUAUGGUUCCAGACGGGAUGUCGACGUGUUCUUCCAACAACACACUUGAGAUCGAUCUGGAUUCAUCCGAAAGUCAGAAUCUCGAGGCAGUUUCCAUUGAUUCCAUUGCCGAUGUGGGUAAAAGCUGCCAGGAGCUAACAGCAGCUUCCGCGGACCAAAGGUUGUAUGGAUCCGCUCCUGGUUUGAAUUUUGCUUCGUGGAUGGCCUUCAAUGUCCCAGGCAUGCUUAUCAACACGUUCCUGGCAUGGAUUUGGCUGCAGUGUCUCUUCCUCGGAUUCAAACGAACAACUGCUGAUGACAAUACGCAAGCUGCAGUCAUUAAGAAAUUGAUUCGUAGAAAAUACGAAGAAUUGGGACCUAUGACGUUCCACGAAUUGGCGACAUUGAUCUUAUUCAUUUUGUGCGUUGCACUCUGGUUUUUCCGUGACCCACAAUUCAUUACUGGAUGGGCCGAAUUCCUACCCGCGGUAGAAGUGGAUGAUGCCACUGCAGUGAUGACCAUCGUCCUGCUUCUUUUUAUCAUCCCCGCAAAACCGAGAUUUUGGAACCGUGACACAGCAGAGAGAAAUCGGGCUGGGCCCAGUCCUGCCCUUUUGGAAUGGAAAUUGGUGCAGGAUAGAUUACCAUGGGGAAUCGUUCUCCUAUUAGGUGGCGGCUUUGCCUUAUCUGACGCCUCUAAAGCAUCAGGUCUUUCUUCUUGGCUUGGAGAUCAAUUAGCUGUUUUGAGUUUCCUGCCUCCGUUCGCCAUCAUGUUGAUUAUCUGCAUCAUGACGGCCGCCGUUACAGAAGUGGCAUCUAACACAGCGACAGCAAACAUCCUUUUGCCGAUUCUCGCUGAAAUGGCAGUAACGAUUAAAGUUAACCCACUCUUCCUGAUGUUACCUGCUACUGUGACUUGUUCGUAUGCAUUUAUGCUACCAGUUGCCACUCCACCCAAUGCAAUUGUUUUCGCCGCCGGUAGAAUGAAUCCGACUGAUAUGGUGAAAGCGGGUUUACUAAUGAACAUAGUAUGCGUCGUUGUCAUUUGCGUGCUGAUGGCUAGCUUUGGUAGUUUCAUGUUCGGCUUCGACGAAUUCCCCGAUUGGGCUGUGCCGCAAGUGAAAAAUGCAACCAUGACAACAUUGUCACAAUUUUCGAACUGCACAUCUCCGUGAACGAAUUCGUCGUGAACAACGGGAACAUAGGGGAAAGAAGUGAUGUGGGUGAGCUUGAAUAUACUCUACGGUACUGGGAAUAACGCUUUGGCCAUGGAUAGGUAUAUAGACCAAAAAGGUUGAUAACCAUUUUUUUAGUGUACACGACAAUCAGUCAAUAUUUCAGCGCUUUAUUGCAUAAUCUUUGCUGUUUUGCUAUUAUCGUUAGUUAAAGCUUGCAAAAAUUUACAUUCAAACCUGUUUACCCAAAUACAUUGUUUUCUUUAAAGUU
Molecule: unclassified non-coding RNA, 2204 nt
Filed under: Daphnia magna
Lineage: Eukaryota; Metazoa; Arthropoda; Branchiopoda; Diplostraca; Daphniidae
Description: solute carrier family 13 member 5, transcript variant X5
Source: RNAcentral